Molecule: unclassified non-coding RNA, 594 nt
Filed under: Aspergillus quadrilineatus
Lineage: Eukaryota; Fungi; Ascomycota; Eurotiomycetes; Eurotiales; Aspergillaceae
Description: partial contains ITS1, 5.8S rRNA and ITS2
Rfam family: 5.8S ribosomal RNA (bases 212-365)
Source: RNAcentral
UUGGAAGUAAAAGUCGUAACAAGGUUUUCCGUAGGUGAACCUGCGGAAGGAUCAUUACCGAGUGCGGGCUGCUUCCGGGCGCCCAACCUCCCACCCGUGACUACCUAACACUGUUGCUUCGGCGGGGAGCCCCCUAGGGGCGAGCCGCCGGGGACCACUGAACUUCAUGCCUGAGAGUGAUGCAGUCUGAGCCUGAAUACAAAUCAGUCAAAACUUUCAACAAUGGAUCUCUUGGUUCCGGCAUCGAUGAAGAACGCAGCGAACUGCGAUAAGUAAUGUGAAUUGCAGAAUUCAGUGAAUCAUCGAGUCUUUGAACGCACAUUGCGCCCCCUGGCAUUCCGGGGGGCAUGCCUGUCCGAGCGUCAUUGCUGCCCUCAAGCCCGGCUUGUGUGUUGGGUCGUCGUCCCCCCCGGGGGACGGGCCCGAAAGGCAGCGGCGGCACCGUGUCCGGUCCUCGAGCGUAUGGGGCUUUGUCACCCGCUCGAUUAGGGCCGGCCGGGCGCCAGCCGGCGUCUCCAACCUUAUUUUUCUCAGGUUGACCUCGGAUCAGGUAGGGAUACCCGCUGAACUUAAGCAUAUCAAUAAGCGGAGGAA